Molecule: ribosomal RNA, 313 nt
Filed under: Proteus mirabilis
Lineage: Bacteria; Pseudomonadati; Pseudomonadota; Gammaproteobacteria; Enterobacterales; Morganellaceae
Description: bacterial LSU rRNA
Rfam family: Bacterial large subunit ribosomal RNA
Source: RNAcentral
AGGCUAAAUACUCCUGAUUGACCGAUAGUGAACCAGUACCGUGAGGGAAAGGCGAAAAGAACCCCGGCGAGGGGAGUGAAAAAGAACCUGAAACCGUGUACGUACAAGCAGUAGGAGCCUCUUUAUGGGGUGACUGCGUACCUUUUGUAUAAUGGGUCAGCGACUUAUAUUCUGUAGCAAGGUUAACCGCAUAGGGGAGCCGUAGGGAAACCGAGUCUUAACUGGGCGAAUGAGUUGCAGGGUAUAGACCCGAAACCCGGUGAUCUAUCCAUGGGCAGGUUGAAGGUUGGGUAACACUAACUGGAGGACCGAA